CAGUCGCCGCGGUAAUACAGAGGGUGCGAGCGUUAAUCGGAUUUACUGGGCGUAAAGCGUGCGUAGGCGGCUAAUUGAGUCGGAUGUGAAAUCCCCGAGCUUAACUUGGGAAUUGCAUUCGAUACUGGUUAGCUAGAGUGUGGGAGAGGAUGGUAGAAUUCCAGGUGUAGCGGUGAAAUGCGUAGAGAUCUGGAGGAAUACCGAUGGCGAAGGCAGCCAUCUGGCCUAAUACUGACGCUGAGGUACGAAAGCAUGGGGAGCAAACAGGAUUAGAUACCCCUGUAGUCCCUGUCUCUUAUAA
Molecule: ribosomal RNA, 301 nt
Filed under: uncultured bacterium
Lineage: Bacteria
Description: partial 16S ribosomal RNA
Rfam family: Bacterial small subunit ribosomal RNA
Source: RNAcentral